Molecule: long non-coding RNA, 571 nt
Organism: Pogoniulus pusillus (Red-fronted tinkerbird)
Lineage: Eukaryota; Metazoa; Chordata; Aves; Piciformes; Lybiidae
Exons: 3
Source: RefSeq, a predicted model, not a curated record
CAGAAGCAUAUUAAAAGAAGUCUCUCAUCAUGAGUCUGGAGAACAAAGCUCAAACAAGGUCAUCGAGGAAGGAUGGAGGAAAGUAACAGAGGGAAGGCUUUAAUCACCACAGGUGAAAUCCCUCCUAGCAGCUGGCUUAUGAAAUAAUGCGAGGGGAGGCCGUAAUGAGCUGAAAGCACCCUCAGCUGGAGAUAAAUAUAUGCAAAUGAGAUGCACAAACAAAGGAGCCCGGACAGAGAAAUAUCUGCAAUUCCAGCAAAAUGCUGCCUGCAGCUAGAAGAUGAACAGCUUUGAUAAAAUGGCUUCUUCAGAAAACAACCUUGAUCCUCUCUCAGAGAGAACCCAGGUUGCUGUCGAAGAGGCAGUGGAGAAAAAGGCAGAGAAAAUAGAUUGCUGUUUAACUUUUAACCUUAUGGAUAUCAUUAAAUAGAUCGUUGCAGAUUUAUAAACGGAGGAUAAACACUAUAAAGUUUAGAGGGGCUUUUACUCAAGGCACUAACUGCAGGGGUUUUAUGUCUGGCAAGAAAAAGAAAAAUAGACUUACCUUUUUCAUAAAAAACCAAAAAUAAAA